Molecule: long non-coding RNA, 3234 nt
Filed under: Sus scrofa (pig)
Lineage: Eukaryota; Metazoa; Chordata; Mammalia; Artiodactyla; Suidae
Description: lncRNA (ENSSSCG00005042806.1)
Source: RNAcentral
UUUUUUUUCUUUUUUCGCCACACCCAGACAUGUGGAAAUUUCUGGGUCAGGGAUCAAACCCAAGCCCCAGCAGUAACCAGAGCCACAGCAGUAACAAUGCCAGAUCCUUAACCCACUGAGCCACCAGGGGAACUCCAAGAUUGAUCUAAUUGUCAUAGGAAGCCAUUGGAGGAUUUUAAGUGGCAUCUCCUUCAAAUUCUAUCUCCUUAAAUCUCUGGAAUCCAUCUGCUUCUCUCCACCAUCUUCACUGCACAUUUUAGUGAGAAAGAUAGGUGACAUCUAUUGGAAGAGGACUUGGGGUCGGGAAAGUUUUAGUUUUUGCUUUUUAGAUGGAAGAUAGAAAGCAUCAUAAAAUUAAAUGAUGGGAGUUCCUGUCAUGGCUAAGCAGUUAACCAACCCGACUAGUGUCCGUGAGGAUGCAGGUUCAAUCCCUGGCCUCACUCAGUGGGUUAAGGACCUGGAAUUGCCGUGAGCUGUGAUGUAGGUCACAGCCGCAGCUCAGAUCCUGUGUUUCUAUGGCUGUGGUGUAGGCUAGCAGCUACAGCUCUGAUUCGACCCCUAGUCUGGGAACUUCCAUAUGCCACAGGUGCAUCCCUAAAAUAAAAUAAGAUAAAAUAAAAUAAAAAUACAUAAUAAAUAAAAAUCAAUUAAAUUAAAAAAUAUAUCAAUUUUAAAAAUAAAAGGAGUUCCCGCUGUGGCACAGUGGAUUAAGAAUCCAACUGCAGAGGCUCAGGUCGCUACAGAAGUGUGGGUUCGAUCCGCACCAGGCAGUGUUAAAGGAUCUGGUGUUGCCCCAGCUGCAGCAUAGGUCAGCUGGGAUUCAAUCCCUGACCAGGGAACUUCCAAAGGCCAUGGGAGUGACCAUUUAAAAAAAAAAAAAAUGAUGGGAACAUUUACUAAAAGCUUACACUAUCCUAAACCCUAGAUCCAAAUGAACAUAUAUUAUAUAGAUAUGUUUAUUAUCAUCUUCAUUUUACAGAUGAGGAAACUGACACUUGGAGAAUUUAUUUCAUUUUACAUUAUUUUUUUCCUUUUUUAAAAAGGCCACAGCUGCGGUAUAGGGAAGUUCCUAGGCUAGGGGUCAAAUUGUAGCUGCAGCUGCUGGCCUACACCUGGCAAGCUGAGCUAUGGACCCAGUCACUCUGUUUCAUUUCAUUAGCCUCUCCUAAUCUCAUAAAAUACAAAAUUCCCCCACAAUCUCCUUUGAGGGAAAAUCCCUGGGAAAGAAGUGAAUUAACAAAGCACUCUGACUCAUUUCCCUUAAGUUUUUGUGUCAUCCCUGAGAUUCUUCUAGUGUUAUCUGUUGCCAGCAGUGUUGUACUUAGUGUCUUUUUUGGGUGAUUUUGCAUUUAUGUAAUUAAUCUCUUCAACUACUGUUUAAUGUGAAAUUCCCUUUCACUUUAACUGCAGGUGAAAUGGCAUUUAAUGGUAGUUCCUGUUGUGGCUCAUUGGGUUAAGAAUCUGACUACUAUCCAUAAGCAUGCAGGGUUCGAUCCCUGGUCUUGCUCAGCGGGUUAAGGAUCCAGUGUUGCAUGUGAGCUGCGGCAUAGGUUGAAGAUGCAGCUCCGAUUUGACUCCUAGCCUGGGAACUUCCAUAUGCCUGGGUGUUACCCUAAUAAAAGAAAGAAAUACAUUUCACCUAACUGUUCAUGAAAGAAGAUUCAUAUUUUUCUCAUCAUUGGCUGUCCUGUAUUUAGUAAAAUCUUGUUUUGUGGACACCCAUAUGCCAGAAGAACAUCCGGAAUAUCUUGUUCCAAAACAGUUGUUUCUUCUACUAACAGAGCAGGCAGCCUGAAAGCUGGCGCCUGACAUCAUUUGCAAACCAUCAGUGCAUUUGGCAGCCCAGGCUCUGUCAAUCCUGUGUCACUCAGACCCUUUCUAGACAUUCACCCUCCACUCUUUCAACAACAGCCCAGCCAGUUGGUUCCUGCCAUUCUCCAACAAUUCUCCCCUCUCUGUCCUAUAUCAUCAAUUUUUUCCUCUCCACUUGGUCACUGCCAUGAGCAAACAAAAACUUCCCAUUAGAAAAAAAGAGAGAGAAGUUCCUGUUGUGGCACAGUGGAAACAGAUCCGACUAGGAACCAUGAGGUUGCAGGUUCGAUCGCUGGCCUCCCUCAGUGGGUUAAGUAACUCACAUUGCCAUGAGCUGUGGUGUAGAUCACAGAUGAGGCUCGGAUCUGGUGUUGCUGUGGCUGUGGUGUAGGCCAGCAGCUGUAGCUCCGAUUAGACCUCUAGCCUGGGAAACUACGUAUGCUGCCCCAGUGCGGACAUAAAAAGCAAAAAAUGAGAAAAAAAAAAGAAAGAAAAGAAAAUCCCACCCUCUUCCCUCUUGUAUUACCACUCCUUUUUGCUCUGCUCCCCUAGUAAGAGUUGUAUACAUACUCUGGCUGCCUUCAGUUCCUGGCAGGAUCCAAGCCACCUCUGUGACCUACACCAUAGCUCACUGCAACACAGAUCCUUAACCCACCGAGUGAGGCUAGGGAUCGAACCAGCCUUCUCAUGGAUACUAGUCAGGAUAGUUACCUCUUGAGCCACGAGGGGAACUCAAUUACUCUUUCAUUUUCUCUUAAAUCCACUCCAUUUAGGCUUUCACCCAGACCAUUCUACCAUUCUACUUAAACUGCUCCUUUUAGGUCACUAAUGUAACUAAUGUAUGUCUCUGUUACAUACACACACACACACACACAAACACCAGGAUAAAAGUCCCGUGCUGGAAAUUUUUGUCCAUUUAGUUCACUGUUGUAUCCUCAGCACCUCCAAUCCCUGCAAGAGUUCUCUCUCAAUUCCAAGAGUCUGAUUGAGGUUUCAAAGUAUGAAGAGAGGGCUCAAGGCGACAAAACGGCCAAGAUGUAAGAGGUUCCUCAGGCCGCUAAGGCAGUCGGGGAGACGCUAGGUGACUAAGUAGCUUUUUCUCUCUUUGCAGACCCUUAGGUUUUUCUCCAGAAAGGAAUGGUCUCAGAGAGGAGAGAGUAGCCGAGGUUUUCAGGAGGGAAAUUCGGGUCUGCUGCCUAUCAGAAUACCUACCCACGGACAACUCCUUACAUGGAUUCUCCCAUAAAGGAACUGUACAGAUUGCCGGAGGCCGCUGCCGACGCUAAACUAAGCCAGAGGCGCACUAGGAGGGGAUUCCGCAAACCCGGGGCUGGAGAGGACUAAAAAGACCUGACGCUCCCACGCCCCGGAUCAUCCCUCCUUCGACUUGCGAGUUUCUCCUGCUGAGUGAAGUCUGGCGCU